Molecule: long non-coding RNA, 703 nt
Filed under: Salmo salar (Atlantic salmon)
Lineage: Eukaryota; Metazoa; Chordata; Actinopteri; Salmoniformes; Salmonidae
Description: lncRNA (ENSSSAG00000087968.1)
Source: RNAcentral
UACGGGUGGUUACUAACGGGGAGGCUGGGGGAUUCAAUCCAAUUACGGGUGGUUACUAACGGGGAGGCUGGGGGAUUCAAUCCAAUUACGGGUGGUUACUAACGGGGAGGCUGGGGGAUUCAAUCCAAUUACAGGUGGUUACUAACGGGGAGGCUGGGCGAUUCAAUCCAAUUACAGGUGGUUACUAACGGGGAGGCUGGGGGAUUCAAUCCAAUUACAGGUGGUUACUAACGGGGAGGCUGGGGGAUUCAAUCCAAUUACAGGUGGUUACUAACGGGGAGGCUGGGGGAUUCAAUCCAAUUACGGGUGGUUACUAACGGGGAGGCUGGGGGAUUCAAUCCAAUUACGGGUGGUUACUAACGGGGAGGCUGGGGGAUUCAAUCCAAUUACAGGUGGUUACUAACGGGAGGCUGGGGGAUUCAAUCCAAUUACGGCUUGUAGACAACAACAACAAAAAGCAAUGUUUGCAGUCAUGUAAAGGCUGUUAUCGGUCGACGGGGAAAUGUAUAUUUUAACAACUGCAUCAACAGCUGUCCAGCUCGCUGCUCAACAGAGAGAAUCCUGGUCUGAAUGAAUGUCCCCAGGCCAGAUAGAUUAUUACAGAGGGGAUCAGCAGGUCCUACAUCAGUGUGAAUGACACCCCCUCUUCCACUCUCAGCACAGGGGUCAGGGAGGGAGGAGGGAGGACCACACAGGAGGGAGG